CAGCAACUAUAAUGACUCGGACUUAAGGGAAACAAGUAGCGGCAGCACCGGUGGUGGUUCUGGCAACAACAGCGCCAUACCCAUUGACCAGAAACCUCGACAGCGGCGGCGGCAGAAGAACGGCGACCUCAAUGUGACUUUCCAGCGGCCAGAGGUGCAGUGGCUCUUGCGGCAGCAGCGAGCCACUCCAACAACCCCUUGUGCAAGCUCUCUUCCUCCGGCAGCGACCCAGACGGCGACGACUCUCCACGGAUGGCGGCGGGCCUUCAGCGGCGGUGCAGUUCCAGUGACGACGGUGCAUGGCAGGACAGCGUUCCUCUCUUCCUCGAGCUCUCCCUCUCACUGGCGCUCAAGGACGACGGCGAGGGUGGCUUCAAUGGCGGCGGUUGCAGCUCACGACGACAGAGACGCUCCUCCGCGACGGCGCAGUUGGCCACGAUGGGCAUGAACGGCAGCAGCGACCUCCCUCUCUUCUCCGCGUCAGUGUAGGUGCGUGUGUGUGGGGAUGAGCGACGGCGUGAGGGUGAGCGAGAGGAGUGCGUCCGUGAGUGUGUGUUUCUACGAAGAGGGUGUGGGAGGAGCCGGGGUGGGAGCUCGACGGCUAGUGAGGGACUGAGGGUUGAGAGAGUGUUUUUGUGUGAUUAGGGUUAGGGAAAAAGUAAAGGAAGAGUGGCCCACAAAUUUGUUUUGUUUUGUUUUUUUUUUUGAGCUAUUACAUUCUUCCCUCCUUUAGAAAUUCGGUCCCCGAAUUUCAACUUACUAUUAUAUUUUCUCUUCGGCAGUACAAGUCACAUCUAUUUCAUACAACUAGACCCUGAUGCAAGAAAUGAUGCAUUUAGGAAUAAGGAAAGAAAACAACAUUGAGACAACCUUAUCCGAAAGAAGUAUAACCACAUCAUGACACCAUAAGUUUAAUAAUUUGCACAAAUAGAUAGCAAGAACAAGGCUAAAAAUCAAGCUAUCUGAGCAAAGUUGCAGGAAAGAACUUAAGCAGUUUAACUAUACAAUAUUAUAUCCAGAUACAAAUUGAACCCAAUGCAUAACGAAAAACAUUUUGCAGAUAUUAUGCAACGAUCAAAUGCUGUACAUUUUCUUAAUAUUCACAUAUACAAUGUAGCAAAAGGAAUCGAUAUGAAGCACCAUCAAUCACAAAGAACAGAUUGCAUAAUUAGAAUGAUAUGAAAAAUUUCAAAAGCACACUACAAACUCUAAUUGGAGUCCAAAUAACAUAGCCAAAAGUGUAAAACAUAUAGAGUAACACAAAUUCCAACAAUACACCCAAAACAUAAAGCAAUAAUUAAAAAGCACAGUCCUAUGAGAUUCCAAGAGUUCGAGUUCAAUUAUGUGGUGGAUAAGGAUGAGAAAAAAGAGAGGCAAGGUGAAGAAUUAAGCAUAAUGUACAUGGCCAGAAUUCCAGAUUUAGAGACAAACAUAGCCACCACAUCAAACCAAGCAUGCAAGAUACAGCCAACAAAACAUUUUCAAAUCAUAUUAUGCAUAUUAACCUUAAAUGUCAAGUGAUAAGAGGUAGGAAGGUUAAACAGAAGGAAUGAAUUUAAUCGAUCUACAAGACUCUUUAAAGGCAUUGUGAAAGCAGCAUAUUAGUAUGAAUAGUUCCGCUUACUCAAACAUAGCAUUGGCCCUAGCCAUCCUUUAGGUUAGCAAUCGACAAUCCCAAAUAAUAAACUAACAAAUGUGCUACAUAUACACCAAUUGAUAAACAAACAAAAUGCCAUUAGUUGGGAAACAAUACCACCAAUCUAGCAAAGUUUUGAAUUUCAUUACUCAACCACCAUUACAAUGCAGCGCACUCAAGGAGUAAUAGAACCACGGAUUUAGUGAAGCUCAAGAAUAUCGACAGGCGACAACAUAUUUCAAUUACUUGCAAUCCUGAGCAACUUGAAACCAGCAAAGUGAUGUCUCAAGAAAGUCAUACAACAUAGGAUCAGUUAAGCAGCAGACUAAUUGAAGACUAAUGAAUCAAUGUGACUGCCUCAAAAAUUCGAUCAUGUUAAGAACUUUGCAAAGCCUAUAUAUCUUUGGAAGAAAAAUGGUUGAUACAACAAUUUAAAAUAAAUUGUACUUAGAUCAUGAUGUGCAAAUUUAAAGAAUAAUAGUACAACUGAUAAUCAAACCCUUAACGUAUGAAGAAAUGUCAACCUAAGAUGUGGGCUAUGAACUAAGGCAAAAUACUAGUAGUAAAAACAGUCGAUUUUCAGAAUUUCUAACAGACAAUAUUCAAAAUACACUGUGAUUGUUACCAAGGAAAAUUUUGGCCAAAAAGGAACAACUUAACACAAAACCCUCAGUGCAGAGACUCUUUAAUCAAUUAAAAUCCUUAUUGGGCAAACAAGGUAGGAUCCGCGACAUAGUUAGAUAAUCAACAAAACCAUGGGGUAAUAGAAACUAUUGAUUCUGCAAAUGAAACAAAAUCAGAAAAAGAAAACCCCCCCCUUUUUUUUUGAGACCAUCAGUAAGAAGGAGUAACUUAAUACAAAGCCAGCUACUAAAUAUCACCAAAAUUCAAAACUACAUAACAAAAACAACAAUCCUAUUAGCCAAGAUAAUCCAGCCAAAAGUACAAAACUAAUUUAUCUCACCGCCUUUCACUAUUAAAACAAAUGAAUCAAAGCUCAACAGGCUGUAAAAGGACAAGCUGAUAAAUUUAUUACACUCGAGCACAUAGUCUGCAAUCACACAAUUACCAGAAGCAUAUAAAGCAUCUGCACCCAAUAAGCGAUGAUAGAUCUGAAUCAAACAUCCAUUUGCAACUCAAUUCAUUUCACAACCAUCACUUGAGAAAAUUAUAUAGUAACAAAAAUAGUUUAUUGACAAAAAUAUUUAUGAUGCUUGGCAUUACUUAAAAACCAAAGAAAUCGUCGGUGUGUCACUACAAAGUAACACAACACACAGCUUUCGAAAUACGUACAAAAAUAUAAUUGUAACUUUGUAAGGGCAAAGGCCAUAGAGGUAAAUAAAAAGAUGUACCACCACAACUAAAACCAUGUGCUAGGAGCAUUUUAAAGGGAAAAAUGAAGAAACAAGCCAAAUCCACAAACAAUUUGGGCAGAGCAAAAUAAAAAUUCACGAGUAUAAAUAAUAGACAUAAACAGGUUUUGCAUGUACAACAACCAUUUAAACUAGAGAAAAGGGAAGAAAAAAAACAUAAUUAGACACGGCACGUGAACAAAUAAGCUAAACCCAUAAAUAAAGCAAAGCAAAAUGAACAUUCAUCAGAAAAUUGUAAAAGAUGUGCCACUCUAAAAAUAGAAACACGAUAAUCCUAUAUAUAAGAAACCGUCACAUAACACAGAUUAUAUGAUAAGCACAAUACUUGAUAGUUUUGACAUGUUAAAAAUUAAUUAGGUUUAAAAAAAAAUGUAGAAAAAAAGAAAAAUAAACAAGGCAAGGUCAUUAAACAUUUUUUUUAUUGAGAAUGUGAAUGCAAUACUAAACAUUUUUACAUAAAUCUUACAGUGCUGACUAGAGUAACUAACUUUUAUGUUAAGCAUCAUAUAAUGGACCACCAAUGAGAUAAUAUUGAGUAAACUUUAGAACAACAUGCUGAAAGAGUUGGAACAACUUUUCUAGUCAAUAAAAUAAUUAAUUUUGAAGAAAAAAAAUUCAGAUGCUCAAGUGUGUCACAAAAGUAUUGUACAGAUCACAAGUUUAUCAUGACAAACUUCAAUUCGAAAUUAUCAAGUCCUCAUCGUAUCAAAGAAAUCAAAACAUUUAUUAAUCCGUCAUAUAUAACUACAAAUCAGGCAUAUAAUCUCCAACAACAACACAAGCAAUUAAGAGGGUUUAUUACCGCCUUUCAAUAGAAAUUUUUUUUACAAGAUAACAACCAAGAUUCACCUAGUUACAGUCACAUCAGUCACCAAUUCAGCAACAAAUAGUAAGAUUAACUCCUAUACAGCAGCAAAAACCAAUAACCUUAUGGAUCUCUCAAAUAAUUAACCAAAAUCAUCUACUUGUUAAUUACUGUAAUAAUCACUAAUCAAAUGACAUGAAUCAGCAAACAAGUAUCUAAUCAGUGGCUACCACUCAUAAGCAAGCUACAAUUUAUCACAUUUAAAAUAAUCAUCAAAUGCUUCAUAAUCACCAUGAUCAGUCCACAAGCUCAGCAAACAAGCCUAUAAAAUUAGAAAUCACAUAUAAUCUAAGAGACGUAUUCACUUCUUAACAUAUAAACAAGAAGAUUCUACCUGAGUGAAGCUCAAAUGUGUUUUUCAUACAACCAGUUAUACUAAGUAUAGAACUUUAGCACUCAAUUUGGUUAACAUCCAAAUGUUAAUAUCAACUAUGAAAAUUUCAAUGAUCUUGGACAAAGACAACUUUCUCAAAGAAACUCAUGCUGUGGAUUUAGUCUCUUUAAAAUCAAUUAUCUAUCAUCCGUAUUAUAGUUAGCAAACUUAUUUAACAUUUGUUUAACUAGAAACUAAAUAAACACACAUUUCAAACGGAUCAUAACAAUUAAAGAUCGAACAGAACCUAAAACAAUAUAAUGAUUUAAUGUCUUAAAGUAGAUGAAAGUGGGGCUAAAUAUCAAUUCAUAUUAUGUACCAUUACUCAAAACAUUCUAUUUCGAUAAAAAAAUUUCACAAACUUUAAAUUUAUUAGAGAAUAAGUCGAGAUUGGGUACAAAGGGAAGGAAACGAGUCGCAAGAAGUGGCAGGAAAGGAAAAGAGUAGCAAGAAGCGGCUGGAAAGGAAAAUAGUGGCAAGAAACGGCAGAGGUCAUAUGUUACAACCAGAUGACAACAACGACAUAAAGGACAAGAAUGACAAUCCUAUAGGCCUCUGAUAGUGCCACAAUUUAUACAAAUAGGCGCGCUUCUAUUUAUACAAUUAUGAUCCUACCAUAGGACACUUGCUCCAUAUUACACAGAUUAAACCUAAGCUCUGAUACCACUCUGUCACGACCCAAAAUGAGCCAUGACUGACGCUCAGGAAAAUAAUCCUAUAGCAAGCCUAACAUAGUCAAAUAUAAGUUCAAUAAGCAAGUACAAAUAUUUUACAAGUUCUAAAAUAAAUAGUUAUAUAUUUUUAACAAAAAAUUAAAAUAACUAAGAAUGGUUGGUCCUGCCUGUGACAUAUGGAGCAUAUACUUCUAGGAAUUCGACAAAGAAUAGGUACUCAUUGCAGACCGUUACUCUUGAAUAGAAAGUCUCACACAGUCAAAUAUUUGUUCCUGAAAAAUAUUUUUAGAAAAACGGGGUGAGUUUUGCAACUCAGUGACCAGACAAUACAUCUAUAAUCAACAUGAGACUAUACAAACAUUAUCAUCAAAGUAAUUUUAAUUAGAAAGUAAUAGUUGAUAAUAAGUGAAUCAAUAAGGGAGUUCUCAUACAGAAAUCAAAUCAAAAGUCCACACUUGGGCGGCUCCACCUCUAUGGGUAGCCCUUUCCUCUUGUGUGUCCUAACAGAAUAACAGAUCUAACGUGUGGCCUACACGUUAGGCUAGCAACACCCCUGCUAGGUGGAGUCUGAGUUAGAUGCAUCUAAGUUAACGUCAUAACCGCCGUUAACUACGGUUUUCUAAUACGAGCCUCCCAAACCAAUUCAAAACAUAUAAUUUCAAAUACAACAAAUAUUUGAUCUUUCAAAUAUAUAAGGUAUCGAAUCGAAUCGAAUCAAAUCAAAUCAAAUCAGAUAAUACUUUUUCAUCAGAAAUCUUUUCUCAAUCAUACUUUUUCAACCAUAAGAGAUUUCAAAUAUAUUUCACAAUUUUUAGAGUGAGUAUCAACAAAUACUUCAAUGCUUCAAAAAUAAAUAUUCAAAUAAAAUCAAACAUUUUAGAAUAAUGCAAAACUUCAUCAAAAAUAUAUAUAGUCUCAUGUAUAGUUCCAAAAGUAUAAACUUCAUAAAAAUGAGUUAUUUAAUUCUAAUAAAUCAAUUAUUUUAAUCAAUUCAAAACCGUUCAAAGCAAAUAUAGCUAUAAUUCAAAGAUCAUAAUAUAUAUAUAUCAAAAUAAUUGUAGAUGCACAAUCAAACAAUCAUAAAUGUAAAGCCUACUCACAACGUAGUCCCUAGGGACCGAAGAUACCAAACCCAGAGUGCCAAAUUCAAGGUAAGGAGGAUUGAAGUGGAAUGGAAUGAAUGAGCGUAGAAUUUGAACCGGAGUAGCAACAAGAUAGAGCUGGCUAUAGUUCUCGAUUGUUAAAACUAUAAUCCAAACGCGCCGACGGAACCUUUCCUCUCAACCCGAAAUUGCGGCAGCACAACCUCAGCUCCAAAUCACUUUCUCAGCAACUACAAUGACUCAGACUUAAGGAAAACAAGUAGCGGCAGCACCGGUGGUGGUUCUGGCAAGAACAGCGCCAUACCCAUUGACCAGAAACCCCGACAGCGGCGGCGGCAGAAGAACGGCGACCUCAAUGUGACUUUCCAGCGGCCAGAGGUGCAGUGGCUCUUGCGGCAGCAGCGAGCCACUCCAACAACCCCUUGUGCAAGCUCUCUUCCUCCGGCAGCGACCCAGACGGCGACGACUCUCCACGGACGGCGGCGGGCCUUCGGCGGCGGUGCAGCUCCAGUGACGACGGUGUAUGGCGGGACAGCGUUCCUCUCUUCCUCGAGCUCUCCCUCUCACUGGCGCUCAAGGACGACGGCGAGGGUGGCUUCAAUGGCGGCGGUUGCAGCUCGC
RNAcentral lists this long non-coding RNA (6645 nucleotides) under Arachis ipaensis. Its description in RNAcentral is "long non-coding RNA (AIPA_LNC000107)". The record is from RNAcentral. Lineage: Eukaryota; Viridiplantae; Streptophyta; Magnoliopsida; Fabales; Fabaceae.